Lucilia cuprina (Australian sheep blowfly) is the source of this 652-nucleotide long non-coding RNA. RefSeq lists it as uncharacterized. Lineage: Eukaryota; Metazoa; Arthropoda; Insecta; Diptera; Calliphoridae. The record is from RefSeq and is a predicted model, not a curated record. The transcript has 3 exons.
ACAUUUAAAAGCGAUUUUUUUAGUUUGUAGCUUUUUAUUUGGUUUAAUAUUAUUUUGAUAAUAAUGACCAUUAUCAUUGAGAAAACCAAACGAGGCCAAAGGGUUUAUAGUGUAAGAUUAAUGAUUGUGGGCCAAUUAUUUUAUUACCAAAACACUUGAAAACUGAAACGUUUAAUAAGAGCGCUAAAGUGUGCCCCCGGUGCAGAAAAGUGUUUGAUUUAAUAAAACGAAACUGGUUUGUUAUCAACAUUUGUUUGUUAUACAAACUUAUCGUAAAACUAAAUUGAUUUUUUUAUUAACAUUAUAAAUUAGAAUGAGUUCACGCGAAAACAGAUUGUUUGGAAAAUGGCCAACAAAAGAAAUGUACAAAUACGAUUGCAUAUUUACGAGGGUUAGAGAGCCAGACGGGAGAAAUGAAUAGCUCGUCGUCGCUGUGAACAAAACAAUGUGAUAAAGGAGAAACUAACAAACCCCAACAGCUGUUAUUUGAGAGCAAAAUUAAUCUUAAUUGUAGAAUUUAAUCGUGUCAUAAGUGCUUAUAAGCGAAUUUUAAUCUUCAAGUAAUUUUUUGAAGGGGAUUUUGUAUGGUAUACAGAGGGUCAAUUGAAGCUAAAUAAUUUCAAAAUGGGCAGUGUCAUUUAGACCUCAAUAA